This 1521-nucleotide ribosomal RNA is filed under the name Escherichia coli 1-182-04_S3_C1. RNAcentral describes it as "bacterial SSU rRNA". It matches the Rfam family "Bacterial small subunit ribosomal RNA". The record is from RNAcentral. Lineage: Bacteria; Pseudomonadati; Pseudomonadota; Gammaproteobacteria; Enterobacterales; Enterobacteriaceae.
AGAGUUUGAUCAUGGCUCAGAUUGAACGCUGGCGGCAGGCCUAACACAUGCAAGUCGAACGGUAACAGGAAGAAGCUUGCUUCUUUGCUGACGAGUGGCGGACGGGUGAGUAAUGUCUGGGAAACUGCCUGAUGGAGGGGGAUAACUACUGGAAACGGUAGCUAAUACCGCAUAACGUCGCAAGACCAAAGAGGGGGACCUUCGGGCCUCUUGCCAUCGGAUGUGCCCAGAUGGGAUUAGCUUGUUGGUGGGGUAACGGCUCACCAAGGCGACGAUCCCUAGCUGGUCUGAGAGGAUGACCAGCCACACUGGAACUGAGACACGGUCCAGACUCCUACGGGAGGCAGCAGUGGGGAAUAUUGCACAAUGGGCGCAAGCCUGAUGCAGCCAUGCCGCGUGUAUGAAGAAGGCCUUCGGGUUGUAAAGUACUUUCAGCGGGGAGGAAGGGAGUAAAGUUAAUACCUUUGCUCAUUGACGUUACCCGCAGAAGAAGCACCGGCUAACUCCGUGCCAGCAGCCGCGGUAAUACGGAGGGUGCAAGCGUUAAUCGGAAUUACUGGGCGUAAAGCGCACGCAGGCGGUUUGUUAAGUCAGAUGUGAAAUCCCCGGGCUCAACCUGGGAACUGCAUCUGAUACUGGCAAGCUUGAGUCUCGUAGAGGGGGGUAGAAUUCCAGGUGUAGCGGUGAAAUGCGUAGAGAUCUGGAGGAAUACCGGUGGCGAAGGCGGCCCCCUGGACGAAGACUGACGCUCAGGUGCGAAAGCGUGGGGAGCAAACAGGAUUAGAUACCCUGGUAGUCCACGCCGUAAACGAUGUCGACUUGGAGGUUGUGCCCUUGAGGCGUGGCUUCCGGAGCUAACGCGUUAAGUCGACCGCCUGGGGAGUACGGCCGCAAGGUUAAAACUCAAAUGAAUUGACGGGGGCCCGCACAAGCGGUGGAGCAUGUGGUUUAAUUCGAUGCAACGCGAAGAACCUUACCUGGUCUUGACAUCCACGGAAGUUUUCAGAGAUGAGAAUGUGCCUUCGGGAACCGUGAGACAGGUGCUGCAUGGCUGUCGUCAGCUCGUGUUGUGAAAUGUUGGGUUAAGUCCCGCAACGAGCGCAACCCUUAUCCUUUGUUGCCAGCGGUCCGGCCGGGAACUCAAAGGAGACUGCCAGUGAUAAACUGGAGGAAGGUGGGGAUGACGUCAAGUCAUCAUGGCCCUUACGACCAGGGCUACACACGUGCUACAAUGGCGCAUACAAAGAGAAGCGACCUCGCGAGAGCAAGCGGACCUCAUAAAGUGCGUCGUAGUCCGGAUUGGAGUCUGCAACUCGACUCCAUGAAGUCGGAAUCGCUAGUAAUCGUGGAUCAGAAUGCCACGGUGAAUACGUUCCCGGGCCUUGUACACACCGCCCGUCACACCAUGGGAGUGGGUUGCAAAAGAAGUAGGUAGCUUAACCUUCGGGAGGGCGCUUACCACUUUGUGAUUCAUGACUGGGGUGAAGUCGUAACAAGGUAACCGUAGGGGAACCUGCGGUU